RNAcentral lists this ribosomal RNA (857 nucleotides) under uncultured bacterium. RNAcentral describes it as "bacterial SSU rRNA". It matches the Rfam family "Bacterial small subunit ribosomal RNA", at positions 29 to 916 of the family's 1533-position model. The record is from RNAcentral.
ACGAACGCUGGCGGCGUGCCUAACACAUGCAAGUCGAACGAGAAAGGGGAGCAAUUCCCUGAGUACAGUGGCGCACGGGUGAGUAACACGCGACUAACCUACCCUGGAGUGGGGAAUAACUGAGGGAAACCUUAGCUAAUACCGCAUAACACCUACGGGUCAAAGGAGCAAUUCGCUUCAGGAGGGGGUCGCGGCCGAUUAGCUAGUUGGCGGGGUAAUGGCCCACCAAGGCAAUGAUCGGUAUCCGGCCUGAGAGGGCGCACGGACACACUGGAACUGAAACACGGUCCAGACUCCUACGGGAGGCAGCAGUGGGGAAUUUUGCGCAAUGGGGGAAACCCUGACGCAGCAACGCCGCGUGGAGGAUGAAGUAUCUUGGUACGUAAACUCCUUUCGAUGGGGAAGAUAAUGACGGUACCCAUAGAAGAAGCCCCGGCUAACUUCGUGCCAGCAGCCGCGGUAAUACGAGGGGGGCAAGCGUUGUUCGGAUUUAUUGGGCGUAAAGGGUGCGUAGGCGGUUUGGCAAGUCUUGUGUGAAAUCUUCGGGCUCAACCCGAAGCCUGCACGAGAAACUACCGGGCUUGAGUAUUGGAGAGGUGAGUGGAAUUUCCGGUGUAGCGGUGAAAUGCGUAGAUAUCGGAAGGAACACCUGUGGCGAAAGCGGCUCACUGGACAAUAACUGACGCUGAUGCACGAAAGCUAGGGGAGCAAACAGGAUUAGAUACCCUGGUAGUCCUAGCCCUAAACGAUGAUUGUUUGAUGUGGCAGGUACCCAAUCCUGCCGUGUCGAAGCUAACGCGAUAAACAAUCCGCCUGGGGAGUACGGUCGCAAGGCUGAAACUCAAAUGAAUUGACGG